This 1821-nucleotide long non-coding RNA is filed under the name Homo sapiens (human). Its description in RNAcentral is "PREDICTED lncRNA (TCONS_00239303)". The record is from RNAcentral. Lineage: Eukaryota; Metazoa; Chordata; Mammalia; Primates; Hominidae.
AGACAUAGUGCCAUGUACCUAUAGUCCAAGCUACUUAGGAGGCUGAGGCGGAAGGAUCGCUUGCACCCAGGAGUUUGAGGCUGCAAUGAGCUAUGAUCACACCACUGUUCUUUCCAGCCUGGGCAACAGAGUGAGAUUCCAUGUCUACAAAAAAAUUAAAAAUUAGCCGGACGUGGUGUCAUGUGCCUGUAGUCCCAGCUACUCUCAGGAGGCUGAGCUGGGACUGCAGGUUCACACUACCAUGUCUGGCUAAUUUUUCUUUUGUUUUGUUUUGAGACAGUCUUGUUCUCUGUCACCCAGGCUGGAGUGCAGUGGCAUGAUCUGGGCUCACUGAAACCUCCUUCACCUGGGUUCAAGUGAUUCUCCUGCCUCAGCCUCCACAGUAGCAGGGAUUACAGGCAUGCACCACCAUGGCUGGCUAAUUUUUGUAUUUUGUAUAGAGACGGGUUUUCACCAUGUUGGCCAGGUUGGUCUCAAACUCCUGACCUCAGGUGAUCCUCCUGCUUCUGCCUCCCAAAAUGCUGGGAUUCCAAGUGUGAGCCACCACGCCUGGCCUUAACCACCAUGCCCGGCCUUAAUUUUUGUAUUUAUGUUUUGUAGAGAUGGGGUGUUGCUAUGUUGCCCAGGCUGGACUUGAACUCUUGGUCUCAAGCAAUCCUCCCACCUCGGCCUCCCAAAGCACUAGGAUUAGAGGUGUGAGCCAUCUGCACCUGGCCUAACCAUUGCUUUUUAUGUAAGGGGAAACUGAGGCCCAGAGAGUGUGAGUGAUCUGUCUUGGGUCACUCAGCCCCAGGGUUGGGGCUCAUAGCUGUUCUGAAAAGGUUCUGGAGAGGCCAGGGCUUAUCUCACAGAGGUUGGCAGCCUGUCUGCCCCAUCCCCUGCCUGCCUCUCCCAGCCUGGUAGCUUCAAGAUCAUUUGAGCAUUUCCUCCACAGCAGGAGCCGGAUGCAUCUGCUCCACCUAAUAACCCCAUUAGGGCCAUUUGCGCCUCUCAGGGGCAGGCGCCUGGGAACCCAGCCAGCGCCCUCCUCCCUGACCUCUUGCCCCAGAGGGCAGGGCCCCUCCACAUGGCACAGGGUGUCUUCCGGUCUCCUCUCCAUCCCUCACCCUCCCCUACCUGCCCAUCAGCAACACAUUGCUCCUCCUGCCUGGCACCCUUCCAAGGUCCACCUGGCCCAAGUGUCCUGCUCCUUCUUCAAAGCCACCCCUCCCCAAGAUGCUGCCUCUGAAGCUCCAACAGUCCAUCUCCCUGACAGUUGUGUCCUCUCCUUCUCUCGUAUGUGGUAGUAUCACUGUCUUCCCCCUAAAGCAGUGGGCACCUUGAGGGCAGAACCUUGCCGCGGGCAUCUCUGGCCCCUGGGGUCCGAGCACUGAGCGGGAAUCCUGAUGAUAAGUGUUGCAUGAGCUGGGCACAGUGGCUCACGCCUGUAAUCCCAGCAGGAGGAUCACUUGAGACCAGGAGUUCGAGACCAGCCUGAGCAACAUAGUGAGACCCCGUCUCUAAAGAAAUUUAAAAAAUUAGCCAGACAUAGUGCCAUGUACCUAUAGUCCAAGCUACUUAGGAGGCUGAGGCGGAAGGAUCGCUUGCACCCAGGAGUUUGAGGCUGCAAUGAGCUAUGAUCACACCACUGUUCUUUCCAGCCUGGGCAACAGAGUGAGAUUCCAUGUCUACAAAAAAAUUAAAAAUUAGCCGGACGUGGUGUCAUGUGCCUGUAGUCCCAGCUACUCUCAGGAGGCUGAGGUGGGAGGAUCACCGGAGCCCAGGAAUUAGAGACUGCAGUGAGCUAUGAUGGUGCCACUGCACUCCAGCCUGGGCUAUAAG